GCACCGCAGAAUCUCAUCCUCAUAAUGCUUUCUUUUAUUUAAUUGCAGAAACUAUCCCAGGAGAGGGUGAGAAGUAAGUACCAUGAAGUAACUCAUUUCAUGAAGGACCAACUUGAUGCUUGAGUGUAUAGAAACUUGAUUCUGGGAUCCCGCUAGGAAGGAUGAUUGGGGUCUCCUGAGAGAAAGUGAUUUGGCCCAUAUAGAACUCCAGCCAGAGAGGCUGUAGGAAGGUUUGUCUGCCCAGAGCAAAGACCAAGGAAUGAUGUGUGAGGCAGCGUGGCUUCAGCUGGAGGAAGAGGUGUGGAUUGCUAAAAUUUGUGCAGGAAACUCCUAUGAUAAAAUGUGCUGAUAGCACAUAAUUCUGUCCAUGUUACGGAUGACAUUUUUAUCUUUGGAGGACCCUCAUUUUAUAUAAUAAGAUACAAAACUAAGUGGGCACCAUCUGUCCAGUCUGGGGCACUUCAUUAAAGACCUGAGUUUGCUGCUGUCUGUCAUUUGCUUUUCUUCAUGACAAUUUUGAACCACCUAAAUAUUGCCAGCACCCUCUUUUUGGACCCUGACAUCCAAGAGGGUGAGAUGGCACAAGUGCAGACAUCCCUCCUCCUUUAAUCAUCUCCCUUAGGGACCUGCUGUGACUGCUAAUGACUUGUUUAGACCUCUCCAGGUCUGGACUAUUAUACAUAGAAUAAAUCAAUAUGUGUUUCUUGGUGUCUGGCUUUUUCACUCACAUUAUGAUUUGAAAUUCAUUCAUGUUCAUAAGUGUAACUGUAGUUCUUCCAUUUCCUUGUUGCAUACCAUUCCACUGUAGUCACCUAUUACAGUUUAUCCACUCUACUGUUGAUUGACAUCGAAUUUUCUUUUUCUGUUUUUAAAUAAUUAUGGCUGUGAGAAGUAACGUUGCUUUGAGUAUUUUUGUCAAUGGUUUUGGAAUAAUACUGGCACUCAUUUCUGUGAAGUAGAUUGUUAGAAGGGAACAUAUCUUUUAUUGUCAUGAAUAGUACCAAAUAUUUUUCAAAAUGAUGAUGCUAAUUCAUGCUCCCGUAGCAGCAUAUGUGAGGAGACAUUUCUCCAAAUCCUUGUGAACUUAGUUUUAUCUCUCCCUAAAAAUUCCAUCACUGUGGUUAGUCUUUCAUUUGUAUAGCAUCUUACUUAAAAUGUUUAACCAAAAAUUUUGUUUUAAUCUAAUGAUGCAGGCCAGCAGGUUUGUGUACGCCUGUCUGACCCCAGCCAUGUAGUGCCCAUGAUCCCUCUGAAGUGUGACUCUGACUUUUCUUGAAAACAACUGUUGGCUUUCAUCCACAGCUGAGUCAUCAUCCACAGCUGGAGCAUCAGGGUCAUCAUCCACCGAUGGAACAUCAUCCACCGAGGGGUCAACAUCCACCAAUGGAACAUCAUCCACUGCUGGGAUAUCAUCAAGUGCUGGGGCAUCAUCCACCAAUGGGACAUCAUCAACUGCUGGGGCAUCAUCCACCUAUGGGACAUCAUCAACUGCUGGGACAUCAUCAACUGCUGAGGCAUCCACCUAUGGGACAUCAUCAACUGCUGGAACAUCAUCAACUGCUGAGGCAUUAUCCACCGAUGGGUCAUCAUCAACUGCUGGGACAUCAUCAACUGCUGGGAUAUCAUCAACUGCUGUGACAUCAUCAACUGCUGGGUCAUCAUCCACUGAUGGGACAUCAUCAACUGCUGGGACAUCAUGAACUGCUGGGGCAUCAUCCACCGAUAGGACAUCAUCAACUGCUGGGACAUCAUGAACUGCUGGGGCAUCAUCCACCGAUAGGACAUCAUCAACUGCUGGGCAUCAUCCACUGAUGGGACAUCAUCAACUGCUGGGGCAUCAUACACCGACGGGACAUCAUCAACUGCUGGGGCAUCAUCCACCGAUGGGACAUCAUCAACUGCUGGGCAUCAUCCACUGAUGGGACAUCAUCAACUGCUGGGGAAUCAUCCACCGAUGAGACAUCAUCAACUGCUGGGGAAUCAUCCACCGAUGGGACAUCAUCAACUGCUGGGGCAUCAUCCACCGAUGGGACAUCAUCAACUGCUGGGACAUCAUGAGCUGCUGGGGCAUCAUCCACCGAUAGGACAUCAUCAACUGCUGGGGCAUCAUCCACCGAUGGGACAUCAUCAACUGCUGGGGCAUCAUACACCGAUGGGACAUCAUCAACUGCUGGGGCAUCAUACACCGAUGGGACAUCAUCAACUGCUGGGGCAUCAUCCUCUGAUGGGACAUCAUCAACUGCUGGGGCAUCAUCCGCUGAUGGGACAUCAUCAACUGCUAGGACAUCAUCAAUGCUGGGGCAUCAUCCACCAAUGGGACAUCAUCCACGGCCGGGGGCAUCAUCCAUGGCUGGGUGCGUCUUCCAUGGCUGGGUGCAUCUUCCACGUCUGGGACAUCAUCCACUGCUGGGUGCAUCUUCCAUGGCUGGGGGCAUCUUCCACGGCUGGGGGCAUCUUCCACGGCUGGAGCAUCAUCUAUGGCUGUUUUGCUCAAUCUGUAUCUGAGCCACAGAUCCAGAUGAUUAAACAAUAAUUUGAGUUCCACUUUUA
This is a long non-coding RNA of Cebus imitator (Panamanian white-faced capuchin), 2550 nucleotides long. RefSeq lists it as uncharacterized. NCBI's taxonomy places the organism in Eukaryota, Metazoa, Chordata, Mammalia, Primates, Cebidae. The record is from RefSeq and is a predicted model, not a curated record. The transcript is spliced from 4 exons.